GUCGCUUAGAGAUGAGCUCGCGUCCUAUCAGCUAGUUGGUGAGGGUAACGGCCCACCAAGGCAAUUGACGGGUAGCUGGCCUGAAAGGCGGUCAGCCACACGGGGACUGAGACACUGCCCCGACUCCUACGGGAGGCUGCAGUCGAGGAUCUUUAGCAAUGGGCGAAAGCCGACUAUGCGACGCCGCGUGAGGGAUGAAGGUUUUCGGAUCGUAAACCUCUUUCAAUAGGGAAGAAAACUCUGCUUAACGAGCAGAACUGACGGUACCUAUAGAAGAAGCCACGGCCAACUCCGUGCCAGCAGCCGCGGUAAUACGGGGGUGGCGAGCGUUACUCGGAUCUUAUUGGGUGUAAAGGGCAAGUAGGCGUCCCGAAAAGUUAGGAGUGAAAUCCUUUGGCUCAACCAAAGAACUGCUCCUAAAACUGGCGGGAUUGGGGCUGGAAGAGGAGAGCGGAAUUCCCGGUGUAAGGGUGAAAUCUGUAGAUAUCGGGAGGAACACCAGUGGCGAAAGCGGCUCUCUGGUCUAGAUCUGACGCUGAAUUGCGAAGGCUAGGGUAGCAAGCAGGAUUAGAUACCACUGGUAGUCCUAGCCGUAAACGAUGAGCACUAGGUGUUGAGAGUUUACUUUCAGCGCCGUCAAGAUAACUCGCUUAAGUGCUCCACCU
This 665-nucleotide ribosomal RNA is filed under the name uncultured Omnitrophica bacterium. RNAcentral describes it as "bacterial SSU rRNA". It matches the Rfam family "Bacterial small subunit ribosomal RNA", at positions 214 to 874 of the family's 1533-position model. The record is from RNAcentral. Lineage: Bacteria; Pseudomonadati; Candidatus Omnitrophota.